RNAcentral lists this ribosomal RNA (136 nucleotides) under uncultured Roseobacter sp. RNAcentral describes it as "partial 16S ribosomal RNA". It matches the Rfam family "Bacterial small subunit ribosomal RNA", at positions 355 to 508 of the family's 1533-position model. Lineage: Bacteria; Pseudomonadati; Pseudomonadota; Alphaproteobacteria; Rhodobacterales; Roseobacteraceae. The record is from RNAcentral.
UGGGGAAUCUUAGACAAUGGGUGAAAGCCUGAUCUAGCGAUGCCGCGCGAGUGAAGAAGGCCCUAGGGUCGUAAAGCUCUUUCGCCAGGGAUGAUAAUGACAGUACCUGGUAAAGAAGUCCCGGCUAACUCCGUGC